GAUGAACGCUAGCGGCAGGCCUAACACAUGCAAGUCGAGGGGUAUAAAAGAGCUUGCUUUUUAGAGACCGGCAAACGGGUGCGGAACACGUACGCAAUCUGCCCUUAUCACGGGGAUAGCCCAGAGAAAUUUGGAUUAAUACCCGAUAGUAUUACAAUAAGGCAUCUUGUUGUAAUUAAAGCUAUGGCGGAUAAGGAUGAGCGUGCGCAAGAUUAGCUAGUUGGUGAGGUAACGGCUCACCAAGGCGACGAUCUUUAGCUGAUGUGAGAGCAUGAUCAGCCACACGGGCACUGAGACACGGGCCCGACUCCUACGGAGGCAGCAGUGAGGAAUAAUUGGUCAAUGGACGGAAGUCUGAACCAGCCAUGCCGCGUGAAGGAUGAAGGCGUUCUGCGUUGUAAACUUCUUUAUUUA
Molecule: ribosomal RNA, 414 nt
Filed under: uncultured bacterium
Lineage: Bacteria
Description: bacterial SSU rRNA
Rfam family: Bacterial small subunit ribosomal RNA
Source: RNAcentral